Molecule: non-coding RNA, 45 nt
Filed under: Schistosoma margrebowiei
Lineage: Eukaryota; Metazoa; Platyhelminthes; Trematoda; Strigeidida; Schistosomatidae
Source: RNAcentral
AUCUACGUGAUGAGUCGGAAAUAAGACGAAACGCACGUCCUGGAU